AGUGAACGCUGGCGGUAGGCCUAACACAUGCAAGUCGAACGGCAGCACAGUAAGAGCUUGCUCUUACGGGUGGCGAGUGGCGGACGGGUGAGGAAUACAUCGGAAUCUACUUUUUCGUGGGGGAUAACGUAGGGAAACUUACACUAAUACCGCAUACGACCUACGGGUGAAAGCAGGGGAUCUUCGGACCUUGCGCGAUUGAAUGAGCCGAUGUCGGAUUAGCUAGUUGGCGGGGUAAAGGCCCACCAAGGCGACGAUCCGUAGCUGGUCUGAGAGGAUGAUCAGCCACACUGGAACUGAGACACGGUCCAGACUCCUACGGGAGGCAGCAGUGGGGAAUAUUGGACAAUGGGCGCAAGCCUGAUCCAGCCAUACCGCGUGGGUGAAGAAGGCCUUCGGGUUGUAAAGCCCUUUUGUUGGGAAAGAAAAGCAGCAGGUUAAUACCCCGCUGUUCUGACGGUACCCAAAGAAUAAGCACCGGCUAAUUUCGUG
Molecule: ribosomal RNA, 492 nt
Filed under: uncultured bacterium
Lineage: Bacteria
Description: partial 16S ribosomal RNA
Rfam family: Bacterial small subunit ribosomal RNA
Source: RNAcentral